RNAcentral lists this ribosomal RNA (758 nucleotides) under uncultured bacterium. Its description in RNAcentral is "bacterial SSU rRNA". It matches the Rfam family "Bacterial small subunit ribosomal RNA", at positions 111 to 862 of the family's 1533-position model. The record is from RNAcentral.
UAACACGGUAUGCAACCUGCCCUCCGCAGGGGGAUAACCCGGAGAAAUCCGGACUAAUACCGCGUGGUACACUUGUGGGGCAUCCCACGGGUGUUAAAAGGAAGUGAUUCCGGCGGAGGAUGGGCAUGCGGCGCAUUAGCUGGUUGGCGGGGUAACGGCCCACCAAGGCGACGAUGCGUAGGGGUUCUGAGAGGAAGGUCCCCCACACUGGUACUGAGACACGGACCAGACUCCUACGGGAGGCAGCAGUGAGGAAUAUUGGUCAAUGGGCGGGAGCCUGAACCAGCCAAGUCGCGUGAGGGAAGACGGUCCUAUGGAUUGUAAACCUCUUUAGGCGGGGAGCAAUGCCGGGCACGCGUGCCCGGAGGGAGAGUACCCGCAGAAUAAGCAUCGGCUAACUCCGUGCCAGCAGCCGCGGUAAUACGGAGGAUGCGAGCGUUAUCCGGAUUUAUUGGGUUUAAAGGGUGCGUAGGCGGAUUUUUAAGUCAGCGGUAAAAUGUCCGGGCUCAACCCGGGCCGGCCGUUGAAACUGGGGAUCUUGAGUGGGCGAGAAGUAUGCGGAAUGCGUGGUGUAGCGGUGAAAUGCAUAGAUAUCACGCAGAACUCCGAUUGCGAAGGCAGCAUACCGGCGCCCGACUGACGCUGAGGCACGAAAGCGUGGGGAUCGAACAGGAUUAGAUACCCUGGUAGUCCACGCAGUAAACGAUGAAUGCUAGUUGUCCGGUUCUUUGGGACUGGGUGACACAGCGAAAGCGUUA